GACGAACGCUGGCGGUGUGCUUAACACAUGCAAGUCGAACGGUAAGGCCCUUUCGGGGGUCCACGAGUGGCGAACGGGUGAGUAACACGUGAGUAACCUGCCCUCAUCUCUGGGAUAACAGUCGGAAACGGUUGCUAAUACUGGAUAUGAGCUUGCAAGGCAUCUUGUGGGUUGGAAAGAUUUUUUUGGUUGGGGAUGGACUCGCGGCCUAUCAGCUUGUUGGUGAGGUAGUGGCUCACCAAGGCUUCGACGGGUAGCCGGCCUGAGAGGGCGACCGGCCACAUUGGGACUGAGAUACGGCCCAAACUCCUACGGGAGGCAGCAGUGGGGAAUAUUGCACAAUGGACGGAAGUCUGAUGCAGCAACGCCGCGGGCGGGAUGACGGCCUUCGGGUUGUAAACCGCUUUCAAUUGUGACGAAGCUUUUUGUGACGGUAGCAGUAGAAGAAGCACCGGCUAACUACGUG
This 466-nucleotide ribosomal RNA is filed under the name uncultured bacterium. RNAcentral's name for it is "partial 16S ribosomal RNA". It matches the Rfam family "Bacterial small subunit ribosomal RNA", at positions 28 to 507 of the family's 1533-position model. The record is from RNAcentral.